Molecule: ribosomal RNA, 864 nt
Filed under: uncultured archaeon
Lineage: Archaea
Description: bacterial SSU rRNA
Rfam family: Archaeal small subunit ribosomal RNA
Source: RNAcentral
UGAUACUAAGCCAUGCGAGUCAUUGUAGCAAUACAAGGCAUACGGCUCAGUAACGCGUAGUCAACCUAACCUAUGGACGGGAAUAACCUCGGGAAACUGAGAAUAAUGCCCGAUAGAACAUUAUGCCUGGAAUGGUUUAUGUUCCAAAUGAUUUAUCGCCGUAGGAUGGGACUGCGGCCUAUCAGUUUGUUGGUGAGGUAAUGGCCCACCAAGACUAUUACAGGUACGGGCUCUGAGAGGAGUAGCCCGGAGAUGGGUACUGAGACACGGACCCAGGCCCUAUGGGGCGCAGCAGGCGAGAAAACUUUGCAAUGUGCGAAAGCACGACAAGGUUAAUCCGAGUGGUUUCUGCUAAAGGAACCUUUUGUCAGUCCUAGAAACACUGAUGAAUAAGGGGUGGGCAAGUUCUGGUGUCAGCCGCCGCGGUAAAACCAGCACCUCAAGUGGUCAGGAUGAUUAUUGGGCCUAAAGCAUCCGUAGCCGGCUCUGUAAGUUUUCGGUUAAAUCUGUACGCUCAACGUACAGGCUGCCGGGAAUACUGCAAAGCUAGGGAGUGGGAGAGGUAGACGGUACUCGGUAGGAAGGGGUAAAAUUCUUUGAUCUACUGAUGACCACCUGUGGCGAAGGCGGUCUACCAGAACACGUCCGACGGUGAGGGAUGAAAGCUGGGGGAGCAAACCGGAUUAGAUACCCGGGUAGUCCCAGCUGUAAACCAUGCAAACUCAGUGAUGCAUUGGCUUGUGGCCAAUGCAGUGCUGCAGGGAAGCCGUUAAGUUUGCCGCCUGGGAAGUACGUACGCAAGUAUGAAACUUAAAGGAAUUGGCGGGGGAGCACCACAAGGGGUGAAGCCUGCGGUUCAAUUGG